CUGACUGGAAACUGACCGUAGCUUUUCCUUGAUUUAGAUCGACUGUAAGCAAAUGGAAAAGUAACCGUCUAAGGGUAUUUUGAGAUUUUGAUAUUUAAAAUCAGUUUUCAAUUUUUUCCUAAAAAUUGGUCAGAGGUUACUUUGAAAAUACACAUAAAUUAUUGGGUCAUUUUCAAUUAUUUCCUCCCAUUUUCUCCCUCUUCGUAGCCAUAUCCCUCUCCUCAGCUACCAUUUCCCCCCCUCGCUUCAUCUUCUCUCCUCUCUCCACCACAGUUACUCACGGUGUCGCCGCCACUCCUCCCUUAUACCACUUCCAAUCAAGGCGGCGCACCAACCCAACCCCACAAAACCUAAUCAUCCUCAUUUUUUGCUCACACGCCAUACCCAGCAUCGAAAGAUCAUCGCGGCGACAGGCGCUCACGGCCACAGCACGCCCGACGGCAAGCACUAUCGUGACUGAUCUCUCUUGCCCUUUUUUUUUUUUUGCAUCAAUUCCUCUAUGUUCGCCGUUGAUGGUGUUAGACCUUGAGAGUAAAAAGAAACAACCUCGAUCUCCAUCCAGCGUCGCUCUAACCGGCGACAAUCUUCACCCCAAUGAUGUUGCUCGACCUAGUUUCAAUCUUGAUGUGGCCGGCGAUGUCGCAGGGACUCGAUCUGGCUACGGAAGACAUGACAACAGGUGGCAGUUUGAGGGUGGUGUUUUUAGUGUUGGUAGUGGAAUUUGAUUUGUUAGUGGUGGUUGUGAUGGUGAAGUAGUGGCGUUGGUUAUGGGUGGGACAGCAUGGGGUAGGGAUGUUUGUUGGUGGUUGUGGUGGUGUGGGUUUGUCGGGAAGAUCUGGUAUGACGAUUUGACUGUAUUUUUCUACGAUGUGUUGAUUUGUUUGAGGUGAUAAUGGUGUUAUCAGGAGAUGGUGGUGGUUCUGGCGGUAGUGGCGACGGUGGUGCUUUUGGAGGUGGUGGUGAUGUGAUAGUCGCAAGUUUUAGUGGUGAUCACGUAUUAUUUGGUUAACUGUGAUCAUUAAAUUUGUUAAUCUGUGACUAAUGGAAAAAAUGAAUUAUGACCAUGAAAUAAUAUUUGAUCAAAAAAAGUGUUCAUAUGUGAUCGAUAAUUUGAGAUUGUAUAAUAACCUUUGACUUGUAAUAUUUGUAAUUUAUUAGCAC
This 1161-nucleotide long non-coding RNA is filed under the name Olea europaea subsp. europaea. The record is from RNAcentral. Lineage: Eukaryota; Viridiplantae; Streptophyta; Magnoliopsida; Lamiales; Oleaceae.